Molecule: transfer RNA, 90 nt
Filed under: Methylobacterium hispanicum
Lineage: Bacteria; Pseudomonadati; Pseudomonadota; Alphaproteobacteria; Hyphomicrobiales; Methylobacteriaceae
Description: tRNA-Sec
Source: RNAcentral
GGCGGUGCUGCGCGGGUCGAGCCGGCCGGCUUUCAGGGUCGGCGAGAGGUCGGCGUAGGCCAGGAACUCGUUGAAGGCGAAUUUCUGCCC